AUCCGGGUUGCGGACAGUGUCUGGUGGGUAGUUUGACUGGGGCGGUCUCCUCCUAAAGAGUAACGGAGGAGCACGAAGGUUAGCUAAUCCUGGUCGGACAUCAGGAGGUUAGUGCAAAGGCAUAAGCUAGCUUGACUGCGAGAGUGACGGCUCGAGCAGGUGCGAAAGCAGGUCUUAGUGAUCCGGUGGUUCUGAAUGGAAGGGCCAUCGCUCAACGGAUAAAAGGUACUCCGGGGAUAACAGGCUGAUACCGCCCAAGAGUUCAUAUCGACGGCGGUGUUUGGCACCUCGAUGUCGGCUCAUCACAUCCUGGGGCUGAAGUAGGUCCCAAGGGUAUGGCUGUUCGCCAUUUAAAGUGGUACGCGAGCUGGGUUUAGAACGUCGUGAGACAGUUCGGUCCCUAUCUGCCGUGGGCGCUGGAGAAUUGAGGGGGGCUGCUCCUAGUACGAGAGGACCGGAGUGGACGCAUCACUGGUGUUCGGGUUGUCAUGCCAAUGGCAUUGCCCGGUAGCUAAAUGCGGAAGAGAUAAGUGCUGAAAGCAUCUAAGCACGAAACUUGCCCCGAGAUGAGUUCUCCCUGAGACUUAGAGUCUCCUGAAGGAACGUUGAAGACGACGACGUUGAUAGGCCGGGUGUGUAAGCGCAGCGAUGCGUUGAGCUAACCGGUACUAAUGAACCGUGAGGCUUAACCUUACAACGCCGAAG
RNAcentral lists this ribosomal RNA (705 nucleotides) under Salmonella enterica. RNAcentral's name for it is "partial 23S ribosomal RNA". It matches the Rfam family "Bacterial large subunit ribosomal RNA", at positions 2238 to 2925 of the family's 2925-position model. Lineage: Bacteria; Pseudomonadati; Pseudomonadota; Gammaproteobacteria; Enterobacterales; Enterobacteriaceae. RNAcentral also lists the same sequence under 1 other name. The record is from RNAcentral.